ACCCUUAGAUGUCCUGGGCCGCACGCGUGCUACACUGACGCCUACAGCGAGUACUUCCCAGCCCCGAGAGGCGGCUGGUAAUCAGCAAUAGGCGUCGUGAUGGGGAUAGAACUUUGGAAUUAUUGUUCUUGAACGAGGAAUGCCUAGUAAGCGCACGUCAUUAGCGUGCGCUGAUUAAGUCCCUGCCCUUUGUACACACCGCCCGUCGCUCCUACCGAUUUCGAGUGGUCCGGUGAAUCUUUCGGACUGCGCGUGGCUUCGUGCCAUGUCGCGGAAAGUCAGGUAAACCUUAUCACUUAGAGGAAGGAGAAGUCGUANCA
Molecule: ribosomal RNA, 320 nt
Filed under: uncultured eukaryote
Lineage: Eukaryota
Description: partial 18S ribosomal RNA
Rfam family: Eukaryotic small subunit ribosomal RNA
Source: RNAcentral